Molecule: ribosomal RNA, 487 nt
Filed under: uncultured bacterium
Lineage: Bacteria
Description: bacterial SSU rRNA
Rfam family: Bacterial small subunit ribosomal RNA
Source: RNAcentral
AUUGAACGCUGGCGGCAUGCUUUACACAUGCAAGUCGAACGGCAGCACAGGGAGCUUGCUCCCGGGUGGCGAGUGGCGCACGGGUGAGUAAUACAUCGGAACGUGUCCUGUUGUGGGGGAUAACUGCUCGAAAGGGUGGCUAAUACCGCAUGAGACCUGAGGGUGAAAGCGGGGGAUCGCAAGACCUCGCGCAAUUGGAGCGGCCGAUGCCCGAUUAGCUAGUUGGUGAGGUAAAGGUUCACCAAGGCGACGAUCGGUAGCUGGUCUGAGAGGACGACCAGCCACACUGGGACUGAGACACGGCCCAGACUCCUACGGGAGGCAGCAGUGGGGAAUUUUGGACAAUGGGGGGCAACCCUGAUCCAGCCAUGCCGCGUGCAGGAUGAAGGCCUUCGGGUUGUAAACUGCUUUGUCAGGGACGAAAAGGACCGUGUUAAUACCAUGGUCUGCUGACGGUACCUGAAGAAUAAGCACCGGCUAACUACGU